GCCAGGCGUGGUGGCGCAUGCCUGUAAUCCCAGCUACUUGGGAGGCUGAGGCAGGAGAAUCACUCGAACCUGGGAGGCUGAGGUUGCAGUGAGCUGAGAUCGUGCCACUGCAUUCUAGCCUGGGUGACAGAGUGAGACUCUGUGUCAA
RNAcentral lists this signal recognition particle RNA (148 nucleotides) under Macaca fascicularis (crab-eating macaque). Its description in RNAcentral is "Metazoan signal recognition particle RNA (ENSMFAG00000057623.1)". It matches the Rfam family "Metazoan signal recognition particle RNA". Rfam says of the family: The signal recognition particle (SRP) is a universally conserved ribonucleoprotein. The record is from Rfam by way of RNAcentral. Lineage: Eukaryota; Metazoa; Chordata; Mammalia; Primates; Cercopithecidae.